RNAcentral lists this ribosomal RNA (443 nucleotides) under uncultured bacterium. RNAcentral describes it as "partial 16S ribosomal RNA". It matches the Rfam family "Bacterial small subunit ribosomal RNA", at positions 338 to 795 of the family's 1533-position model. The record is from RNAcentral.
CCUACGGGGGGCUGCAGUGGGGAAUAUUGGGCAAUGGGCGCAAGCCUGACCCAGCAACGCCGCGUGAAGGAAGAAGGCUUUCGGGUUGUAAACUUCUUUUCUCAGGGACGAAGCAAGUGACGGUACCUGAGGAAUAAGCCACGGCUAACUACGUGCCAGCAGCCGCGGUAAUACGUAGGUGGCAAGCGUUAUCCGGAUUUACUGGGUGUAAAGGGCGUGUAGGCGGGACUGCAAGUCAGAUGUGAAAACCAUGGGCUCAACCUAUGGCCUGCAUUUGAAACUGUAGUUCUUGAGUGCUGGAGAGGCAGACGGAAUUCCUAGUGUAGCGGUGAAAUGCGUAGAUAUUAGGAGGAACACCAGUGGCGAAGGCGGUCUGCUGGACAGCAACUGACGCUGAGGCGCGAAAGCGUGGGGAGCAAACAGGAUUAGAUACCCGGGUAGUC